GGGCGUGUAGCUCAAUGGCAGAGCAGUGGCCUUUUAAGCCAUUGGUUAGAGGUUCGAGUCCUCUCACGCUCA
This 72-nucleotide transfer RNA is filed under the name Chloroflexota bacterium. Its description in RNAcentral is "Chloroflexi bacterium (anaerobic digester metagenome) tRNA-Lys". It matches the Rfam family "tRNA". From Rfam's summary of the family: Transfer RNA (tRNA) molecules are approximately 80 nucleotides in length. Their secondary structure includes four short double-helical elements and three loops (D, anti-codon, and T loops). RNAcentral also lists the same sequence under 3 other names. Lineage: Bacteria; Bacillati; Chloroflexota. The record is from RNAcentral.